Long non-coding RNA from Solanum dulcamara, 1281 nucleotides. RefSeq lists it as uncharacterized. The transcript has 2 exons. The record is from RefSeq and is a predicted model, not a curated record. Lineage: Eukaryota; Viridiplantae; Streptophyta; Magnoliopsida; Solanales; Solanaceae.
UCUUCUCGGUAUAGCUCUAUUUUCUCUUUUCGUUCAAUCCUAAUCUUAGUUUUGCUCUCCUUCCUUUGCUUCUACAUUUCACUUCAGCUUCUAAUCUUCAUUCAUUUUUUGAUGAGUUUAAUAUGUUUUCUUUCUGAGUUCUUUGUUUUUGUCACAGAAGAAGGAUUGUAUUUUUUGUAGUCUGGUAAUUUUGACUUAGGAUCUAAAUUCCAUAGAUGCAAAUUUGUGAGAUGUUCUAAUUUUUGUCACUAUUUCCCUCCUUUAAAUUCUGAAAGAACUAAUAUGAAUAUUUCUUAUUCAGGAUUUUAGAAAUAACAUGACAAAUAAGCGGUGAAAGAAUUUGAGUGUUAUAUUAUGAUGUUUGUGGUGUUAGUUCUUCAGCAUCUGCACAGGAAGAGAUACAAAGGGCCCAUUGCUUCAAGGUACAUCAUGAUUGACCGGUGUUGGAGCUGGGGCAAUUGCUAAAUUCGAAGCAGGCGCCAUUGCAGAUAUUCAAUUUGACAUUGUUGAAUUUUCAGCAAGAAUAUAACGUUUGCAAACGACAUUGUUUCAAUUCAAAUAUGCUGAUAAAUACUCAAUUUGACUCAUGACAGGUACUAGACCUUCAAGGUUACUGUUCCCUGAAAUGUUGAGGAAACGGAGAGUUCCUGGCUAGAACUUUCGUAGGGGGUAUAUCUGUUGUGCUUUUUUCGUUGCUUGUAAUAUUUUUCAUAAGAAGGGAAAAGAAUGAUUUAAGUUUAACAAUAUAUAUAGUCCGUUGAUCAAGAAAGCUGAGGACUUGGCUUUCUUAGAGAAUGAAGAUGGAGUGGCAUCACUUGAAAUGAUUGGAAAAGAUAGUUGUGGAGAAGUUUAUAGAGCUGAGUUACUGGAAAGUAAUAGAAAGAUUAUACAAUCCCCAGUUGAUGCUGCAGAGAUCACUGAGGAAGACAUCAAGGAUUUGAACAAGAAAAUGUGCCAAGUUAAAUUAGAAAUUCAAAUUAUAGGUCAAAUCAGACACCGAAAUUUGCUUCUAUUACUAGCACAUAUGCCAAGGUCAGAUUGCCAUUAAUUGGUCUAUGAAUAUAAAAAUGAAAGUUCACAUGACAACCUCCGACAAGUCAAAGAAGGGACAAGGGAAUUAGAUUGGUUGGGCGACAUCGAAUUGCAGCAGGAAUAACUGCUAGUCCUUAAUUUUUUCAUAUAAACCAUACUCAACGCAUAAUUCACAGAGAUUUAAAGCCAACAAAUAUUCUUCUUGAUAAUGAUAUGUGUUGAAAUGAUCAUAGAGGAAGGUUAAUUCUC